AGUUACAAGACUCACAUUCUCUUUGGCCACAUUCCUAAACUUGAAACUGUCAACAACAAAGAUUUUAUGAAAUAAGAUUUUUUUUUAAUGAAUGGAUUAUCACUGGGGCCCUGGACCUGCACAAUGAACCCACUGCUCCUGGUUACAGAGAGAAAGAAAGACACCUGCAGACCUGCUUUGCCACUUGUGAAGCUUCCCCACUGAAGGUGGGGGGUGGGGGCUUGAACUGGGCCCUUAGGAUGGUGACUUGUGUACUCUUCUGGAUGUGCCACUACCCAACCCCUACAAGUAACAUUCAGAAAGUAAUUACAAUUAUGUUCUGCCUACAAUUAAGACACAGCCAUUUGUUUCAAUAUCAUAUGUUCUUUAUUGUGUGCUGAAAAAUUAUU
Molecule: long non-coding RNA, 389 nt
Organism: Erinaceus europaeus (western European hedgehog)
Lineage: Eukaryota; Metazoa; Chordata; Mammalia; Eulipotyphla; Erinaceidae
Exons: 3
Source: RefSeq, a predicted model, not a curated record